Long non-coding RNA from Orbicella faveolata, 224 nucleotides. The record is from RefSeq and is a predicted model, not a curated record. NCBI's taxonomy places the organism in Eukaryota, Metazoa, Cnidaria, Anthozoa, Scleractinia, Merulinidae.
GGCAGGCAAAAGCGGAGCUGUUUCCGACAUCUUAAGCAACCUGGUAUUGUGAUAUACAGACUAUACGACGCUUGUUAGCAGAGCGGAUUAUAUACUCAACGAGUCUAAACACGUUUCCAGGAAUCAGAACUAUAAAUGCAAUCAAGAACCUCUUAGAAAAGGGAAAACUUGCACGGGAAAGCCAAACGUAUGUGUACUUUACAGUAAGACUGAAAGAACAGCUU